AUUCUAAGGUGAGCGAGCGAACUCUCGUUAAGGAACUCGGCAAAAUGACCCCGUAACUUCGGGAGAAGGGGUGCUCUUUAGGGUUAACGCCCAGAAGAGCCGCAGUGAAUAGGCCCAAGCGACUGUUUAUCAAAAACACAGGUCUCUGCUAAACCGUAAGGUGAUGUAUAGGGGCUGACGCCUGCCCGGUGCUGGAAGGUUAAGAGGAGUGGUUAGCUUCUGCGAAGCUACGAAUCGAAGCCCCAGUAAACGGCGGCCGUAACUAUAACGGUCCUAAGGUAGCGAAAUUCCUUGUCGGGUAAGUUCCGACCCGCACGAAAGGCGUAACGAUUUGGGCACUGUCUCAACGAGAGACUCGGUGAAAUCAUAGUACCUGUGAAGAUGCAGGUUACCCGCGACAGGACGGAAAGACCCCGUGGAGCUUUACUG
RNAcentral lists this ribosomal RNA (429 nucleotides) under Staphylococcus aureus. RNAcentral describes it as "partial 23S ribosomal RNA". It matches the Rfam family "Bacterial large subunit ribosomal RNA", at positions 1678 to 2106 of the family's 2925-position model. The record is from RNAcentral. Lineage: Bacteria; Bacillati; Bacillota; Bacilli; Caryophanales; Staphylococcaceae.